CAGUAAUGAUGACAAACUUAGGACACCUAUGAAUAUCUUCGUGAUUUCAAACCGCAAUCCGACUCUGAACUGA
RNAcentral lists this small nucleolar RNA (73 nucleotides) under Paramuricea clavata. Lineage: Eukaryota; Metazoa; Cnidaria; Anthozoa; Malacalcyonacea; Plexauridae. The record is from RNAcentral.